GAGAGUGAAGCUCAGUGAUAAAGCAUUUGCCUAGCAUGCACAAAGUUCUGGGUUUCAUCCCCAGCACCUCCA
This 72-nucleotide transfer RNA is filed under the name Marmota marmota marmota (Alpine marmot). It matches the Rfam family "tRNA". From Rfam's summary of the family: Transfer RNA (tRNA) molecules are approximately 80 nucleotides in length. Their secondary structure includes four short double-helical elements and three loops (D, anti-codon, and T loops). The record is from Rfam by way of RNAcentral. Lineage: Eukaryota; Metazoa; Chordata; Mammalia; Rodentia; Sciuridae. RNAcentral also lists the same sequence under 2 other names.